GGUGCACGUAGCUCAACGGCAGAGCCGUGGGUUGUGGUCCCGCUGACGACGGUUCGAUUCCGUUCGUGCUCCCCA
Molecule: transfer RNA, 75 nt
Filed under: Variovorax sp. PAMC26660
Lineage: Bacteria; Pseudomonadati; Pseudomonadota; Betaproteobacteria; Burkholderiales; Comamonadaceae
Description: tRNA-His
Rfam family: tRNA
About the family: Transfer RNA (tRNA) molecules are approximately 80 nucleotides in length. Their secondary structure includes four short double-helical elements and three loops (D, anti-codon, and T loops).
Source: RNAcentral